Long non-coding RNA from Homo sapiens (human), 6643 nucleotides. RefSeq lists it as uncharacterized. Lineage: Eukaryota; Metazoa; Chordata; Mammalia; Primates; Hominidae. The record is from RefSeq and is a predicted model, not a curated record. The transcript has 4 exons.
UUGCUCCGCCCGGUCCUCUGGCGGCAGCCAGAGCCUUCCCAGGUUUUGCCUUCGCCCGGUCCUCGCCCUUCAAAGCUUGGUAAGGUCCAGCCGUCCACCUGUGGCUGUCCUACAACAAAACCACUUCCAGGAAAAGGAAAGGGGUACGUGACAGGCCGAAGAAGUCAGGCUACAAACCGGAUGACAACCGGGUUACAUAAUUAGCAGAAGGGAGGAGCUUCAAAUCCUGGCACUCUAACACAGAGAUUGUUCACUUAAGACUACACAGUACUACUUAUGAAAAAAAACUGGCAGAAGGGUAUUUUACAUACUGUAAACCACACAUACCUUUAUUAUUACUUGCCAGAGGAACCCCUUCAUCUUGCCUAACUGCCAUUGUGUGUGUGUAGAGCAAUUUGGGUGAAAGAAGAACAUGUUUCACAAGCUUAAGUGUGGAUGCUUCACAUUUCUGGGAUUAGUGCUGUACCCUCCCCCAAAUUCAUGGUAAGUUUAUUUGAAAGCAGGUUCUAUAGCAACAAAUGCUUAGCAUUUUUGUAAUUUUCAAACACAGGCUACAAAGCAUAUGAGCUUUUAACAUCACUUACUGUUGGAAGCAGAUGUGGUUAAAGGCACAAAGAGAUUCACAAUUUAGGUUCAAGAUCCUAAUAUCUGAUUUGGUCUACUCAGAUCAAUAACAGCUUGUGGUGUGUGAUACAGUCAUUUUUCACAAAAGUCUCACUCCCCUUAGGAUGCCAUCUCUACUUCCUUUGUGAAGCCAGAAAUAUCAAAAAUUAAUCAUAAAUCACUGCCAUAAAAAUUUCAGAAGGUGAUUCUAGGAGCUUGUGAGAAUACUAGAAGGCAGUGGCAAAGCAUGAGUGACAACAUGCUGUUUUAAUCCACAGUCCCAGUUGUAUAAUUAAAAAGUAAUCAUAAUGACAGUUAUCAUAAAAAAGGCAUGCGCAGUAACUCAAACAGUUGCUUAGCAACCAGUGGAAAAAAUGCUGAAGUGCAAAGAGGCCUGCAUAAAUUAACCGAAAAUCCUCUGUCAAAGAGAUGGGCUAGUUUUUCUGCUACACUGGGUCAUCGUUUUUGUUUUAUUUUUUUAAUGCACAUAUGGGCCUCAUGAGUACGAAAAUCAGGGGUGAACGCAAGAGGUUUAAGAAGACUGCAUUUUACUCAGGAAUUGGAUUUCUGGAUCACUGCAGCAAGAACCAAGGUGUUCUCUCACCCUCUCAACCACCCCUACCCCUCACAUCUCUUCGAGAAAUGCGUUCGUCCUUCCCUAACUUAUGCCACAUAGUAUAUGACAAGAACUAUUUUAUUUACCAUCACCUUCAACACAGGGCCACAAUUUCUGGUCUGUUCUUUUCCUACCAUUCUGAGAUUUAUACACCCAAACAUUUUAUCUGUUUGAAAAGGUGCCUAUGAAAUGCAGUGAGAGUAAUUUGUAGAGAGCAACUUGCUUAAUGAGCAUUCUUUAUCAGCUAGCAGCACCCCAAAAGUCAGACCUCUUUGUAAUCGCGGAUUUAACACCUGACUCUCCCUCAAUGACACAUCUUCAUGGUGUCAUCUUCUACAUUGCCAACAGAUGGUGUCAUGUUUCUAUUGAUGGAGUACAGGCACAUCUCUGUACACCUGUGAUGGACACACUCUUAAUUUUAACUGUGCUACUGGUGAAAUAAAUAAGAAAUAAGCAGUUUGUGACCGAUAGUGCAACAAAGCUCUAAGGGGUAAGGCUAAAACAAUCUAGGUAUGACAUCUCUGUCUUCAGUAAGACCCUAAAAAUUCUAAACCCCAUAAGGAGACAAGUCCAGAGUUCUCUAUGCUCAUAAAGAAGAGAGCUGAAUGCUCUGAGACUUGGGGCCAAUACUGUAAAAUGAGAAAUAAACACAUUUAUUCUGUUUAAAAAAUAAAGGCUCACUGGACUUAAUAUACCUAUCCCACUUUCUUUUUUCCUCUCCUAAGAAUAAAGGACAAAGGCAAAAGGAGGACCUGGAAGUUAUCUAUGGAAGACUUCUUGGGAUAUGUUGUUUCCAUCAUCACUGAAAUAUCUCAGAGUCUGGCUUCCAAAGCCCUCCAGGAUAUGUCCUCAUUCUCUAAAAACCCAACUGGUACCACCAACACACUUCUCUUCUAGUCAGGAGAGUCUCUACUGUGUACCCCCAACUUUCAUGGGCAAUCCCCUCUUUAUGACCCAUUCCAGGUCUCCAGGCCUGACCUAGCUCUCACUCCAUAGCUGGAAAGUUCUCUGUGGUUUUUUCUCCUCUCCAAGUAUUUCCUUAUCCCUCCAGGACCAAGAACCCAUUGUCCAGAAAAAUGGAGGAAAUUCUCCUAAAUAUCAACUACACUUACUCUCAGUCCCCUCAUUGCUCAGAACCUAAUUCUUCCAUGUGUGUUAUUGUUUCUCUCCUCCCUACAGGGUGGGGUUCUCUUACAGACAUCAAACUCAUCCCCCUCCCUCCCAGAGCAAGGGAUUGGAUGGCCAGCUUCGGCAGACAAAGCCAGGAGGUCCUGGGCAGUACCUAGCUUCCACAUUACCUAUAGAAUACCUUGAGGUAGCACGAACACUUGCUGGAGUAAUUUAUUUUUUUCCUAAAUUACAGGUUAAAAAAAAAUUAAACAAACAAACAAAAAAGGAAGUGAAGCAGCCUGACAGUUCUGAAUUCUUGUCAUUUCUUUCUCUAAUUUGAGCUGAGCGAGGGCUUUUUUUUAAUACACCUUUUGAAAUGUGGUGGUUUUCUAUGCACCACCCUGCCCCCGGCCAGAAAGUUGCUUUUUUCCUUUUUAAGUACAGAACAAUAGUCUAAUUGUACAAUGUUGUUUACAGAAGGUGUUCUGUUUCUGUUGAAAUGCUUAUCCUAUCCCAAGGUGUUUUCCAUUAUGUCAUUUUACACAAUUUAAGGCCUAAAUAUAAAUUGCUACUUGGAAAGUACACUACUUCCCAGACAAAAAUGAGACCCCCUCCCCAAGACCACUGAUGGCCUGUGACAUCGGAUGGAUUUUACGUAAUGAUCUACCUCAGGCUAGAAAGUAUGGCUCUGAUGAGACAUGGGGUAAGUGGGGGAGGGGUACAACUUGAAAUACAAGUUUAAAGGCACUCACUGGUCUUACGGUUCACAGGUGUUGGUGGACAAGAACCUCUCCUCUUCAUGGAAGUGAACAGACACCGCGACGUGGCCAUGAGACCAUAGAGUACGAGAUGGAAAAGAGCCACAUACCACUGUGCAAGUGGUAGUUUGAACUCCUUGUAUGCAUGGCUUAUAUACACACACUACUGAGAUUUAAUUUGUUAUGCUUCAUCUGGGAACCGUUUUUUUUUUUCCUCAUUACCUCCACAAACCAAAAGUAUAAUUCCACAUCUAUACUAUGACUCUAAACUGGUGACUGCAUACAUUAUAAACUUUACAUAAAUGUCAGCUUUAGCUUUGAUUAUAUUUUAAGCUUAGAGACAUGCUGAAGGCUGAUAUGCUAGUUAAGAAAUCUACCUCUGGCCGGGCACGGUGGCUCAUGCCUGUAAUCCCAGCACUUUGGGAGGCAGAGGCGGGCCGAUCACCUGAGGUCAGGAGUUCGAGACCAGCCUGACCAACAUGGAGAAACCCCCUCUCUACUAAAAAUACAAAAUUAGCUGGGUGUGGUGGCGCAUGCCUGUAAUCCCGGCUACUAGGGAGGCUGAGGCAGGAGAAUUGCUUGAACCCAGGAGGCGGAGGUUGUGGUGAGCUGAGAUCGCGCCACUGCACUCCAGCCUGGGCAACGAGAGCGAAACUCAGUUUCAAAAAAAAAAAGAAAUCUACUUCUAGAAUACUGGUUAUGUCUUUUAAUGAUUUUUUUUUCCAGGACCAGGCGAAAAUUGAUAAUUAGUGAGGGUCUUUUAUGGUUUUUCUUUUUUACCUGCUCAAGCUGAUCUGUUGACCAGAAUAGCUAAUAGAUAGUGCUGAGAAAGAAAUCUUAACCAUAGCUGAAAUAAAUUGUUUAUAUUAAUAAGGGUUAAAAUGUGACUAUCUUACUUCAAUUAGAAAAUGAUGUCAUGAUUUAGAAUACUCACUUGAGGUUGGAAGGAUUUUACAGAAAAGCUAUCACAAUCCUAAAGGAAUCAAACAUAGCAAAGUCGUUUGGGAAGAAAACUUUAAAAAUUGGGUCAACACUGCAGGGCAGUAGGUGAAGUGUGCUGCUUCUUUUCAGGUUCAGGUUCCUAUGAAGUUUAAUAUAUAUCAUUGAAGAAUUUACUAGACCACAUUAGUGCCCCUACUUAUCAAGAGAGCCUGCAGAAACCUGAGCCAGUCAUGAAGCAGGUGUUACAAGCAUCUGCACUCCAUAUUUGCUACUGAGAUCUCUCAUCUCAGCCUUAUUGAGUAUUGAUUGGUGAUAAUUCCUAACAAGUUUGGAAAUAUCAUCACCUAGACCCUUGAAGCAAGAGCAAAACAGGGUGGGAUGGGAGUAGACUUGUUUGGGUCAUGGAAUCAGUAGCUGUUAAAAUCACCCCAAUGUUGGGGCACAGUGGCUCACACCUGCAAUCCCCGCCCUAUGGGAGGCUGAGGCAGGCUGAUCACUUGAGCUCAGGAAUUCAAGACCAGCACAGACAACAUGGAGAAACCUCAUCUCUACAAAAAAAAAAAUACAAAACUUAGCCAGGCGUGGUGGCAUGUGCCUGUAGUCCCAAGCUACUUGGGAGGCUGAGGUGGGAGGAUCGCUUGAGCCCAGGAGGCAGAGGUCGCAGCGAGCUGAGAUCAUGCCCCUGCAGUCCAGCCUGGUCAACAGAGCUGACUUUGUUGUCUCAACACCACCAAAAAAAUCACCCUAAUAGUCAUAAAGGACUACAGAUAAAUAAUGUCCCUGAGUUACCAAGACAAACAAAGUUCCCUGUUAGGAGACUGAAAAGGGUUCACUCAGCUCAAUAAGAAAGGCACCAAGACUUUGUCUAGAGUCUUAAAAACAAUCACACUCUGAUGCAUGAUUUUACUUUUGGUAAUCUACUCUGGGCUGAAACAGAUAAUCAUCAAGAUGUUCAUGACAGGAUUACUUAAAAUAAAUAAUUCAAAGCAGCCAAAACGUUUAACAGUUGUGGAAAGAACAAGUAAUAGAAUGCAAGAGAGUCUAAAAUUAUGUAUUUUAAAGAAAAAAAUGCUUGUUACGUCAUUAUAAAAAAAAAAAAAAAAAAAAACAGGCCGGGCGCGGUGGCUCAUGCCUGUAAUCCCAGCACUUUGGGAGGCCGAGGCAGGUGGAUCACCUGAGGUCAGGAGUUCAAGACCAGCCUGACCAACAUGGAGAAACCUCAUCUUUACCAAAAAUAAAAAAAUUAGCCGAGUAUGGUGGCGCAUGGCUAUAAUCCCAGCUACUCAGGAGGCUGAGGCAGGAGAAUCGCUUGAACCCAGGAGACGGAGGUUGCAGAGAGCCGAGAUUGUGCCAUUUGCACUCCAGCUUGGGCAACAAGAGCGAAACUUCAUCUCAAAAAACAAACAAACAAACAAAAAAAACCCAAAAAAACAGAGGAUAUCAAAUUGUAGUGCAGUACAACUUCAACCUCAACAAGGAUUUAAAAAAGGCAUUGAAAAACGACCAGAAGGAGAUAUGCCAAAGCAUAAUGAAAAAUAAUAAUUUACUCUUAUUCACCAAAAUGAAGAUUUAUGAUUGAAUGUAAUUUAGAACCAUUUUAUCCAUAAAUAAAGUAGGUCCCAACAAACACUUUAAUUGGGUUACCUUCAUUGAAAACAUGCCAUAAGUCAAAUAUCUAAUUUUAUUUUUCCAAAGAAAUUACGUUUAAGGAUCAUAGGACCAACCUUUAUUUUUAUCACCAUAAGCAGCACGUUUUACCAACUGGCACUUUUUAACUAUCACAUAAAGCCAAACAAAUAAAAGAAUACAAUCAUUACACAAAAGUUUUAAUAUGUUGUAUGUUGCAACCAUCAGAAUCUUCUUUUCAGUUUCUAUGCAUUUCUUCAGGAUUCUCCCAUUGCAUUUAUUACUACAAAGCAAAGGUGCUUGAAACAGGACGUAAGAUCCAGAGAGUGUUUUUGUGUGUGUAUUGUUGGGGGGGGGCGGGGACAAGCAUUUUCAAAAAAUGUUUUUGAGUAGAUUUGUCAGCUAUCACUCAGCUUUCGGAAAUACUGUCUUAGGAUGGCUACUUUUCUGCCCUCUUUCUCACUUGACGUUUCAUAACAGUGGGUGCAGGUACAGAACUCCACUGCCCAUCUGACUAAAUGUGAUGACAGACAGACACCGGAUGACCCGCAGCUUCCUCAGCCGGCCAUUUCUACAGUUUUUCCCACCCCACCUUGUAGACGUUACACGCGCUCAUGACUCAAAGCGUCCCUGUCUUUCAAAAUUACUUACAAAGAGCCUCUUUUGACCACUGAAGCAAAGAUUUUUUAAAAGCUCUUCUGAAGAAAGGGUUAAUUCAUCAUAAUACAAUCUCCAAACACCAUGUUGUCAGCUCAGGCUUAUGGGAAAAGGAAGUGUGUGUGACAGACAGCAAGGGACAAGACAGACUCCAGAGAGCCCUGAGGAAGCAAACACCAAGCCCACUGCUAUGUCUCUGGAAAUUACAGUUUAAAUGUGUCUUUAGUGAAAAUGAAUUUAUCUAGUUCCUAACCAUAUACCGUCAUGUCAUCUCCCCUCAAAAAGCCUGGGCAUGGCACUGGGGACUUGCAAUAAAUAGCCUUUAAAGUUA